UAAAAGAUAAGCUAAAUUAAAUAAGCUUACAGGUUCAUACCCUGUUAAUAGAUAAAUUCUUCUUUUUG
Molecule: transfer RNA, 68 nt
Filed under: Prosevania sp. ZJUH_2016031
Lineage: Eukaryota; Metazoa; Arthropoda; Insecta; Hymenoptera; Evaniidae
Description: tRNA-Met
Source: RNAcentral